Molecule: ribosomal RNA, 1322 nt
Filed under: Limenitis populi (poplar admiral)
Lineage: Eukaryota; Metazoa; Arthropoda; Insecta; Lepidoptera; Nymphalidae
Description: 16S ribosomal RNA
Rfam family: Archaeal large subunit ribosomal RNA (bases 1071-1229)
Source: RNAcentral
GGGGGAAAAUUAAUAAAAUAUAAAUAAUAAAAAAAUUUUUAAUAUUGGGGGGUAUUAAAGUAUUUUUUUAAAAAAAAAUAAAUUAUUUUAUAGUUGAAUAGUAUUGUUAAAGAAAUUUGAAAUAAAUGAAAAUAAAUUAAUAAAAAAGUAAUUUUUAUUUAAUGUAUCUUGUGUAUCAGAGUUUAUUAAAGAAUAUUUUUUUUAUAAAGAAAUCUCGAAUUUAAAAGAGUUAAUUAAUUAUAAAAGUUAAUGUAGAAAAAUUAUUUUAAAUAAUUAAUUUGAAAUGAAAUGUUAAUCGUUUUUGAAUAUAUCUAGUUAUUUUAGAAAAAAAUUUAAUUUUAAAUUUAAAAAAUUUUAUUUUUAAUUAUAAUUAAAAAUAAAAUUUUUAAAUUAAAUAUAUUAAGGGAUAAGCUUUAAUAUAAAUAUUUAUAAUAAAAUAAAGUUUAAAUAAAAAUUUUAAAAUUUAUAUUGUUUAAAAAUUAUAAUUUAUUAUAAAAAAUUUUAUUUAAAAUAAAAUUUAAUUAAAAAAUUUAAUUUUAUAUAAAAUAAUAAUAAAAAUAAAAAUAAAUUAGAAAUAAUGAUAAAAUUAGUAUAUUAUAAUAAAAUAUAAUUUAAUUAAUUUAAAUUAAAUUAAAGGAAUUCGGCAAAAUUUUGUAUUCACUUGUUUAUCAAAAACAUGUCUUUUAGAUAAUAAUUUAAAGUCUAAUCUGCCCACUGAUAAAUAUAUUAAAGGGCUGCAGUAUAUUGACUGUACAAAGGUAGCAUAAUCAAUAGUCUUUUAAUUGAAGACUUGUAUGAAAGAUUUAAUGAAAUAUAAACUGUCUCUAAUUUAUAUAUAAGUAGAAUUUAAUUUUUUAGUUAAAAAGCUAAAAUAAAUUUAAAAGACGAGAAGACCCUAUAGAGUUUUAUAUUAAAAUUAUUUAAGGUUAUAUAUAUAAUUAAAAAUUUAAAAAUAAAAUUAAUAUUUUAUUGGGGUGAUAAAAAAAUUAAUUUAACUUUUUUUUUAUUAAAACAUAAAUAAGUGAAUAUUUGAUCCAUUUAUUAUGAUUAAAAGAAAGAAUUACCUUAGGGAUAACAGCGUAAUAUUUUUUUUUAGUACAAAUAAAAAAAAGAGAUUGCGACCUCGAUGUUGGAUUAAGAUAAAAUUUAAAUGCAAAAGUUUAAAAUUUUGAUCUGUUCGAUCAUUAAAAUCUUACAUGAUCUGAGUUCAAACCGGUGUGAGCCAGGUUGGUUUCUAUCUUUAGAAUAAUAAAAUAUUUUAGUACGAAAGGAUCAAGUAUUUUUAAUAAUUAAAAUUUAAUGAAUAUUAAUAAUAAUAAUAU